This 487-nucleotide ribosomal RNA is filed under the name Capnocytophaga canimorsus. Its description in RNAcentral is "bacterial SSU rRNA". It matches the Rfam family "Bacterial small subunit ribosomal RNA", at positions 9 to 497 of the family's 1533-position model. Lineage: Bacteria; Pseudomonadati; Bacteroidota; Flavobacteriia; Flavobacteriales; Flavobacteriaceae. The record is from RNAcentral.
GAGUUUGAUUAUGGCUCAGGAUGAACGCUAGCGGCAGGUCUAACACAUGCAAGUCGAGGGGUAGGGUGCUUCGGCACUUGAGACCGGCGCACGGGUGCGUAACACGUGUACAAUCUACCUUUUGCUAAGGGAUAGCCCGAAGAAAUUUGGAUUAAUACCUUAUAGUAUUGUUUGGUGGCAUCACUAAAUAAUUAAAGCUCUGGUGGCAAAAGAUGAGUACGCGUUCCAUUAGCUAGUUGGUGUGGUAACGGCAUACCAAGGCUACGAUGGGUAGGGGUCCUGAGAGGGAGGUCCCCCACACUGGUACUGAGACACGGACCAGACUCCUACGGGAGGCAGCAGUGAGGAAUAUUGGACAAUGGUCGGAAGACUGAUCCAGCCAUGCCGCGUGCAGGAUGACGGCCUUAUGGGUUGUAAACUGCUUUUAUACAGGAAGAAUAAGGUCUACGUGUAGAUUGAUGACGGUACUGUAUGAAUAAGCAUCGCA